AACGAACGCUGGCGGCAUGCCUAACACAUGCAAGUCGAACGAGACCUUCGGGUCUAGUGGCGCACGGGUGCGUAACGCGUGGGAACCUGCCCUUAGGUUCGGAAUAACUCCCCGAAAGGGGUGCUAAUACCGGAUAAUGUCUUCGGACCAAAGAUUUAUCGCCUUUGGAUGGGCCCGCGUUGGAUUAGCUAGUUGGUAGGGUAAAAGCCUACCAAGGCGACGAUCCAUAGCUGGUCUGAGAGGAUGAUCAGCCACACUGGGACUGAGACACGGCCCAGACUCCUACGGGAGGCAGCAGUGGGGAAUAUUGGACAAGGGGCGAAAGCCCGAUCCAGCAAUGCCGGGGUAGGGAUGAAGGCCUUAGGGUUGUAAAGCUCUUUUACCCGGGAUGAUAAUGACAGUACCGGGAGAAUAAGCUCCGGCUAACUCCGUG
RNAcentral lists this ribosomal RNA (433 nucleotides) under uncultured bacterium. RNAcentral describes it as "partial 16S ribosomal RNA". It matches the Rfam family "Bacterial small subunit ribosomal RNA", at positions 29 to 507 of the family's 1533-position model. The record is from RNAcentral.